Molecule: ribosomal RNA, 274 nt
Filed under: uncultured bacterium
Lineage: Bacteria
Description: partial 16S ribosomal RNA
Rfam family: Bacterial small subunit ribosomal RNA
Source: RNAcentral
AUACGGAGGGAGCAAGCGUUAUUCGGAAUCACUGGGCGUAAAGGACGCGUAGGCGGGUUUGUAAGUCAGGUGUGAAAUCCUACAGCUCAACUGUAGAACUGCACUUGAAACUACAGACCUAGAGUAUGGAAGGGGCAGAUGGAAUUAGUGGUGUAGGGGUAAAAUCCGUAGAUAUCACUAGGAAUACCGAAAGCGAAGGCGAUCUGCUGGGUCAUUACUGACGCUGAGGCGUGAAAGCGUGGGGAGCAAACAGGAUUAGAAACCCCAGUAGUCC